RNAcentral lists this unclassified non-coding RNA (354 nucleotides) under soil metagenome. RNAcentral describes it as "partial contains 5.8S ribosomal RNA, internal transcribed spacer 2, and large subunit ribosomal RNA". The stretch from base 1 to 120 matches the Rfam family "5.8S ribosomal RNA", at positions 35 to 154 of the family's 154-position model. The record is from RNAcentral.
GAUGAAGAACGCAGCAAAAUGCGAUAAGUAGUGUGAAUUGCAGAAUUCAGUGAAUCAUCGAAUCUUUGAACGCACAUUGCGCCCCUUGGUAUUCCAUGGGGCAUGCCUGUUCGAGCGUCAUUGACACCCUCAAGCUCUGCUUGGUGUUGGGCCGUUGUCGUUUCCUCGCCCCCCCGGCGUCACAGCGACACCCCUCAAAGUCAUUGGCGGCUUUCCUGCCCAGCUUUCCCGCGCAGCAGUUCGCGCUUCGGAGACCACUUGGCAGGUUGGCAUCCAUCAAGCUGACCCCUCACGCUUGACCUCGGAUCAGGUAGGGACUACCCGCUGAACUUAAGCAUAUCAAUAAGCGGAGGA